GCCGGGGACCUCAUGGAAUGAGGCAGUUCGAACCAGGUCAGGACCGGAAGGUAGCAGCCUUAAGGACCUCGCCUUAUGCCUUGAGAUAAUCUCCGGCUUU
RNAcentral lists this signal recognition particle RNA (100 nucleotides) under Chlamydiales bacterium. RNAcentral's name for it is "signal recognition particle sRNA small type". It matches the Rfam family "Bacterial small signal recognition particle RNA". From Rfam's summary of the family: The signal recognition particle (SRP) is a universally conserved ribonucleoprotein involved in the co-translational targeting of proteins to membranes. Lineage: Bacteria; Pseudomonadati; Chlamydiota; Chlamydiia; Chlamydiales. The record is from RNAcentral.